UGGCCAACCUCUCUUGCAUUACUACUCUUGUAUUUCCACUACCAUAUAAAUAAAAUUGUUGUUUCUACUUAGAAAAUUUAUUGUUGAGAGUCUACUCUAAUUAAGAUUUUGGUGUUUUUAUUCCUCAAAUCCCUUUUCCUGAUCCAACCAUGGAUUUCAUAAGGUCUUCAAUCAAACAGUCCACGAAAUGUUCAGAUAUUAGCUAUUAAGAAAUGACAAAGUCAGGCCUUCUAAAGUAAGGAAACAUACAUUUUAUACAAAAAGAAGAAAUAAUGUUGUUCGUAUGGUGUUGGCACAACAAUGUCACAAGAAAGAGUGCUCAAGAUGCGAGACUGUUACUCAAUUUUCAUUCAAGGUUAUUAUGAUGUAUGUUAAAAUUGUCUGUUAAUCUCCUUAUUAAUAAGGGACACAAUGAAAGGACGAACACAGCAUAUCCUAGUUUGUACUAAAGGUAGUAGAAACUGUACAGUAAAUUUGGCUUUCUUUUAUUGGAGAAUGAACAGGUGUCUCGCUUUAGGGAAGA
Solanum pennellii is the source of this 523-nucleotide long non-coding RNA. RefSeq lists it as uncharacterized. The transcript has 4 exons. The record is from RefSeq and is a predicted model, not a curated record. Lineage: Eukaryota; Viridiplantae; Streptophyta; Magnoliopsida; Solanales; Solanaceae.